GUAGGCUGGUUUUCCAGGCAAAUCCGGAAAAUCAAGGCUGAGGCGUGAUGACGAGGCACUGCGGUGCUGAAGCAACAAAUGCCCUGCUUCCAGGAAAAGCCUCUAAGCAUCAGGUAACAUCAAAUCGUACCCCAAACCGACACAGGUGGUCAGGUAGAGAAUACCAAGGCGCUUGAGAGAACUCGGGUGAAGGAACUAGGCAAAAUGGUGCCGUAACUUCGGGAGAAGGCACGCUGAUAUGUAGGUGAAGUCCCUCGCGGAUGGAGCUGAAAUCAGUCGAAGAUACCAGCUGGCUGCAACUGUUUAUUAAAAACACAGCACUGUGCAAACACGAAAGUGGACGUAUACGGUGUGACGCCUGCCCGGUGC
This 369-nucleotide ribosomal RNA is filed under the name Escherichia coli. RNAcentral describes it as "partial 23S ribosomal RNA". It matches the Rfam family "Bacterial large subunit ribosomal RNA", at positions 1520 to 1869 of the family's 2925-position model. Lineage: Bacteria; Pseudomonadati; Pseudomonadota; Gammaproteobacteria; Enterobacterales; Enterobacteriaceae. The record is from RNAcentral.